CAACCCCGUGUGUCACCCUGGGCAGGUUUCUUGCCCUCAGCUGGUCUCAUGUCCCCCCAGCCUCGGUAAAGAAUAGGGGGGCUGGUGACCUUCCCAGCCCCACAGCCAGGAGUGACGGGUACUAGAAUGGAUGGCCCUGGCCCUGCCAGUCCCAAAGUGGGGCAAUCCACCCCAGCCCCCGGGGCUCCGGCUUCAUAAUUUAUAUGCAGUACACGUGCCACUCCAAGGACACGGGGAAACACUGGCGGUUGCCGGGGGCUGGGAGAAGGAGGGGCCUGGGGAGCGAGUGCUAAUGGGGAUGGUUGCACAAUUCUGUAAAUGUGCUAAAAACCACCCACUUCCGCGCUUGCAACGGUUGGAUUUUAUGGUAUGUUAAUUAUGUCUCAAUAAGGCUAUUUAAGAAAGAAAGGACAAGAGGAAGGAAAGGAGGGAGAGAGGGAGCGCCCAGGGUCAGGCCAGAGCUGCCUUUGGGAUUUGCCUUCAGCACCCAGCCUCUCCCCAGCCAUCUCACUCCAGGCACCCCCACUCCAGAACACAGAGAAGCAGCGUGUGAAGACCCCCAAGUGGCAGAGGACGGCUCCGGCUGCCGACCAGAGUGGCAGGGACCCCUGCCUCUGGUGCUCACCCUCUCCGAGGCACAAGGAGCCAACGUGGAUCAAAGAGCAGAAGCCCCAGGAGCUGCCCACACAUCCCCGUUCACACAGAACACCAAGGCCUAGAAGGUGAAGGAGCCGGUGUGCCGGGAACAUGCACGACACAGGCGCUCGGAGGCCGUUUCUCUGUACCGCACCAGUGGGAGAGCCCACUUAAACCCACGCAUGCGGGGACAAGCCCAGAAGAGAUGAGCAGCCCCAGCCCUGAGAAAGUGGGGAAGUGCUCCUCCCCAGAGGGCCCAGGGCCCACCUCCCGCUGCCUCCCCAGGCGGGGACCCUCGGAAGAUCCACCUUGGACUGGAGCGGAAGCUGGGCCGAGAAGCGAGGGUCUGGGCCGCCACAGGGGAAGGUCUGGGCUCGGCCCGGCAGCAGCUGAAGUCCCCGCAUUCCAAAACCACAGGCCGGGAAGUGACACAUCUGUUGCCAGACAGGUUUAGGAGGCAUCUGGGGAGUGGGGCUCCGGAAACUAGGUCGGGGCCGGUGCCAUGCUGGCCAGCCUCCCGGGAGGCCCAGCAAGGAGACAGCACCCCCCUCCCCACUACAGGGGCUCCCGGGGGACCCUCCAGGCCAGCACGAGGGAGACCAUGACCCAGGGCUGCUGUCCAGGGCAGCGAAAUGGUGGAAGGUCUUCCCCCUUCCCCUGUCAAAUCUGCAGCCAUCAUGACCUUCCUUGAACCACAAGUGAGACAAUGAAUGAUGAUAGUGACAGCUUAACCCUUACUCAGUGCCUGCUGCGUGCCAGGUACCGAGCAACCGAGCACUGUCGGAGGUGCAGCGAAUACCACAAACUGAGGGGCUUGAGGCCAGACACGGGGCCGGCAGUGUGGUGCAGAGGGUUGUGUUCAGUGUUGACACCUGUGACACCAGCAUCUGGUAUGAGCAGCCGGUUCUGGUCCUGGUCGCUCUACUACUUUUUUUUUUUUUUUAAAGAUUCAUUUAUUUUAUUUGAAAGUCAGAGUUACACACAGAGAGAAGGAGAGGCAGAGAGAGAGAGAGAGAGAGAGAGAGAGAGAGAGAGAGAGGUCUUCCAUCCGCUGCCUCACUCCCCAAUUGGCCACAAUGGUCGGAGCUGUGCUGAUCCGAAGCCAGGAGCUUCUUCUGGGUCUCCCAUGUGGGUGCAGGGGCCCAAGGACUUGGGCCAUCUUCUACUGCUCUCCCAGGCCAUAGCAGAGAGCUGGAUGGGAAGUGGAGCAGCCAGGCCUCAAACCAGUGCCCAUAUGGGAUGCUGGCACUGCAGGCUGGGGCUUUAACCCUCUGUGCCACAGCGCCAGCCUCUGCUCUACUUCUGAUCCAGCUCCUUGCUAAUCCACCUGGGAAAGCAGCAGAAGUUGCCCCAAGUGCUUGGGUCCCCGCCACUCAUGUGGGAGUUGUUGAUGGAAUUCUAGGCUCCUGCCUUCAGCCUGGCCCAGCAUUGGCUGUUGUGGCCAUCUGAGGCGUGAACCAGCAGGUGAAAGAUCUCUCUCUAUAUAUCUCUCUGGUCUCUCCCUAUCUCUCUGACAUUCUACCUUUCAGAUAAAUAAAUCUUGAGAGAGAGAGAGAGAGAGAGAGAGAGAGUCAGUCAGUCCCCCGGAGGCCCUCCCAGCUCCCAGCUAAGCCAUGGGUCCCGGAGGAGACAGAAGAGCAAGGGUGUUGUGGUGUCCCCCAGCGCUCCCUCCCAACGGAACAGGCGCCACCCCACUGUUGGCCACACGGAGCCUGGCCCCAGCACAGCGCGGCGUUUUCUCAUCCGACACUCUCAAGGUGGAGACCGAUUCUCCAGAGAAGGAUUCUCCAGAAAACCAGGACUCAGAGGAUGCCCGCCAUGCCAGUGAGGCCCCAGCUCUGCCCACACCUCAGUCUUUUGGUGGAGGGCACUCAGGGGGACUGGGGGCCGCGGGCGUGGGUGUGCCUGUGAGGAUAGAAGGGAUAGGUCAGAGCUGAGGACCAGGAGCCUGUCAAAUCGACACGCUCUGGAGCCCCACAGGGCCUGGAGGGCGGGCAGGCAGUGGUCUGGCACAAGCAGAGGCACAAGACCCUGAGGGACCUCCGCCCUGGACACCGCCGGCCAGAGGAAUCAACCGUGACCUUCCGAGUAGAAACCCCAGUGGCUUCCCUGGGAGCUCAAGACAGAAUCCGACCUCCUCCCGCUCAGCUCAGCCUGCCCCCGCCUUCCUGCGUGCGCCCCACAGCUGCCACAGGGCCUUUGUACUUGCUGCUCCCUCAGCCUGAAUGCCAGCCCCGGAACUCUGUGCACACCACUCCUCACCCCUGGGUCCCCAGCUUGGCUGCUGCCUCCUCAGAGUGGCCUUGGGGUUAGAGACGUCCAGUAAUCUUCUCUCCUAUCUCUGUUUUACCUCCUUCAUAGCACUUACUGCAAACCGCAAUUACUCUACUUUUAAGAUUCAGUGGGGCUGGUGUUGUGGUGGUUGAGCCACGACCUGUGACUCUGGCAUCCCGCAGAAGCUCAGGUUUGAGUUCAGCUGCUCCGUGUCUGGUCGGGCUCCCUGCUAGUGCAUCUGGAAAAGCAGCAGCAGACGACCCAGGUGCUGGGGCCCCUGCACCCACACGGGAGACCCAGAAGAAGCUCCUGGCUCCUGACGUCAGCCUGGCCCAGCCCUGGCUGUCAUUGCCAUUUGGGGAGUGAACCCGCGGAUGGAAGCUCUCUCCCUCUCCCUCUCUCUGUAACUCGGCCUUUCAAAUAAACAAAUACAUCUUUAAAAAUA
Oryctolagus cuniculus (rabbit) is the source of this 3355-nucleotide non-coding RNA. The record is from RefSeq and is a predicted model, not a curated record. NCBI's taxonomy places the organism in Eukaryota, Metazoa, Chordata, Mammalia, Lagomorpha, Leporidae.